Taeniopygia guttata (zebra finch) is the source of this 1475-nucleotide non-coding RNA. The record is from RefSeq and is a predicted model, not a curated record. Lineage: Eukaryota; Metazoa; Chordata; Aves; Passeriformes; Estrildidae.
GAAGUACCAACGCGAAACGCGCUGCUCCGCCAUGGGCACCGCUUCUGCCAGAAGCCGCGCCCCCACCGGGAUAACACCACGCCUCCGGGUUUGGUAUUUUCAUGUUUGCUUGGGACCAAUAAUAGAUGAACAACUUCCAGAGGAAUCACACUGACAGUCAGGGAAUUAUCCCCAUGAGACAGCCAAACUUGUAUCUGUGCCACUGACCUUCUCUGCUGGCUUUGCAAUGCAGCAACAAGAAUGGGUCAGAAAAUUAUCUGCAAACAUUUCUGCUCUCCUGGGCUACAGCAGGAGCAAACACUGCAAUGCUCAAUGUUGCAACUGGAAUACUGGCAAGUGCUACUAUUGACCCCAAGAUAUGAAAGAAUCACACUGGAGAUGUGCAUCAGCUUCAUCACCCAACAUGCUGAGGCCACAUCCAAGGUCAAGGACCUGAGCUCAGACACUGCCCAGGGCUGAAACCCGUCUCCUCCAAGGAAAGAAGCAGCACCACCUAUAAAAUGAAGGGCCCUGAAAAGAGCUGGAAGCCUGGAUUGCAAGAUGUGUGAAUUACAGAGGCUCAUUUAACUUCAGAAAUACAUGGCUUUGGGAAAGACAAGCCAAACCCAGCUGUAGCAAGGGAUGCUGGCUACUCCUGAGCUCUGCAAGAAAGCUCAAGCAUGGCAGCUCCCAGGUUUGGAGAAGUUGAGGCUGGCAUGGAUAUCUCUGGGUUCUUUGCUCUGAGCCUCCUCCUUCAUCCCCCUGCUUCUGACAACGGAAAAUGCCAGAUGAAGGUGCAACCAAAUCCUGCUCCCCAUAUCUCUGCACAGAGAUGCACACAGGCAGGCUGUGCUUCUGAACGCACAAAUCGAGGCUUCCCUCUGAACAGAGAGCUGAGGCUGCUGGACUUGGGGGAGAAACACCAGAGCCUGGGGCAGCGCCUCCUCACCUGCACGAGGUUCACUCCAGGCACGAAGUUUUUCACCUCCUUGAUCAGCUUCACCUUGUCAGAGGCCUUCAGCUCUGUCAGCCGGACGGUGAAAUGAGUUUUCUCUUUCUUGAGCGGGACCACCUCCUCCUCCUCCUGGAAGCAGCCGGAGCACGGUGAAGCCCCGCGGCCGAGCCCGCCCCCGCGCGUACGGUUCCCGGGGCCCCGCUCCCGCCCCUCCCGGAGCGCCCGGUACCUGCGGAGCCGCCUGGGCGGGCAGCAGGGAGGCGGCGGCCGCCGCGGGCAUCACCGCCGCGUCCGGGAUCUUCAGCGUCUCCUGAGGGAAGAGCAGCGGCAGCAGCGGCCGGUCAGGCGGCGCACGCGGCCGGGCCGGGCCGGGAUGAGCCGGGACGAGCCGGGUCAGGCCCCGCACCCACCUUGAGCAGCGCGUUGAGAUCGGCCACCUCCAGCAGCGUCAGCCCCGCGAUGUCCCGCACCAGCUGCCGCACCUUGGGCGAGUACUCCUUGGCGGCCGUGUCCAGCGGCGCUCCGGCCAGCGCCUCCGAGC